RNAcentral lists this ribosomal RNA (221 nucleotides) under uncultured bacterium. RNAcentral describes it as "partial 16S ribosomal RNA". It matches the Rfam family "Bacterial small subunit ribosomal RNA", at positions 96 to 334 of the family's 1533-position model. The record is from RNAcentral.
UGGCGGACGGGUGAGUAACGCGUAAGAACCUGCCCUUGGGAGGGGACAACAGCUGGAAACGGUUGCUAAUACCCCAUAGGCUGAGGAGCGAAAGGAGGAAUCCGCCUAAGGAGGGGCUUGCGUCUGAUUAGCUAGUUGGUGAGGCAAUGGCUUACCAAGGCGACGAUCAGUAGCUGGUCUGAGAGGAUGAUCAGCCACACUGGGACUGAGACACGGCCCAG